This 1273-nucleotide long non-coding RNA is filed under the name Olea europaea subsp. europaea. The record is from RNAcentral. Lineage: Eukaryota; Viridiplantae; Streptophyta; Magnoliopsida; Lamiales; Oleaceae.
ACCAUCUCACUUCACUGCAACUCUUCCUAUUUGACAAGAAGAAUUACCAAUCUUCAUUAAAACAAGAAAACCACAACCAUUUUUUCUCAAAACCAGAAAAAACAAAUAAAAACCAUGAAAACCACCAAUCUUCCUCCCCCACUACCGGCUUCUUAUGUUUUUUGAUUUUCUCAUCUAGGGUUUGUUUGAUUAGGGAUUUAUAUUUCAAUUUCUGAUAAGUGGUCUGCUAGAUCUGAAUGAGCCACAACUUAGGCAAGGGGCUGAUGGAGCCACAACGGUGGUCUCGCGCAAGACUGUUCUAUCGGGCAAACAAAUCCUCCACUGUGCGUGAUAUUCCUACGAACGGCUACAAUACAUGCGAUUGUCUACUGGGCAAACGUCUACGAUUGACCUACAUGGUGUGGUGAUCCUACAUGGUGUGGUGGUUAAUUUUCGAGGCGAUCAAUGAUGGAAAAGAGAUAGAGAGAGGUCACAAUUUUUAAUUUUUUUUUAAUUUUUAAUUUUUGGAAUGAGAUGGGUGAUGUGGGGAUAUGGAUGAUAAUAUGAAUUAUUAUUAAUAUAUUUAUUUAAUACGUAUUAAAUAAUAAAUUAUAAUCUGAAUUUUGAAAUAUAAAACUUAGAAUAUGAUUCAUGAAAUGUAAAUUUUAAAAACAAGCCUGUAUGUAAUUUCCACUUAUCAAAUACAUAGCCUACCAGAUAUCCAUCAAGCAUAAGUCCAUAUCAUUCAUCAAACUCUUAAAACAUAAUCCAGCCACCGUAAAUAACCAAGCCCAAGCCUAAUAGCUAGUGAAAUCCAGAAGCCCAGACACCAAACCAAACGUCAAUAGCCUAGAUGCAUGCCGACUACUCACAAAUUCUCCAGCCUAUUACUAUCAUCAUUAUCCAAUUCUCCAACAAGACUCUGCAGCUCCGAGAAAAAUCUUUUUCUAGUUUACCUCAAAAAAAAAAAAAAAAAAAAAAAAAAAAAAAAAAAAAAAAAAAAAAAAAAAAAAAAAUAAAAAAAAAAUAAAAAAAAAUAAAAAGAAAAAAGAAAAAAAAAUAGAGAAAAAACAUUUCAAGGAUAUUGUUCAGCAGCGAGGAAAAAAAAGUAAAAGUACAAAAAUUUACUAUUGUUUGCAGAAUAUGUGAUCUAUACUAUUCAUGUUGAUUGAAUGAGUCACUUGAGGAGAAUUCAAUUGCAGUAGCUCAUCGUCACGUGUUCUCUUCCACCAUAGUUAUGCUAACUUGAAGAUCAUAAUUUGGAUGCUAUUUGACUCUUUUAAGUCUCGCGAGG